RNAcentral lists this ribosomal RNA (273 nucleotides) under uncultured bacterium. RNAcentral's name for it is "partial 16S ribosomal RNA". It matches the Rfam family "Bacterial small subunit ribosomal RNA", at positions 524 to 796 of the family's 1533-position model. The record is from RNAcentral.
UACGUAGGGUGCGAGCGUUAUCCGGAAUUAUUGGGCGUAAAGAGCUCGUAGGCGGUUUGUCGCGUCUGUCGUGAAAGUCCGGGGCUUAACCCCGGAUCUGCGGUGGGUACGGGCAGACUAGAGUGCAGUAGGGGAGACUGGAAUUCCUGGUGUAGCGGUGGAAUGCGCAGAUAUCAGGAGGAACACCGAUGGCGAAGGCAGGUCUCUGGGCUGUAACUGACGCUGAGGAGCGAAAGCAUGGGGAGCGAAUAGGAUUAGAUACCCCCGUAGUCC